RNAcentral lists this ribosomal RNA (742 nucleotides) under Microbacterium sp. Its description in RNAcentral is "bacterial SSU rRNA". It matches the Rfam family "Bacterial small subunit ribosomal RNA", at positions 106 to 859 of the family's 1533-position model. The record is from RNAcentral. Lineage: Bacteria; Bacillati; Actinomycetota; Actinomycetes; Micrococcales; Microbacteriaceae.
GUGAGUAACACGUGAGCAACCUGCCCCUCACUCUGGGAUAAGCGCUGGAAACGGCGUCUAAUACUGGAUACGAGCUGGAACCGCAUGGUUACCGGUUGGAAAGAUUUUUUGGUGGGGGAUGGGCUCGCGGCCUAUCAGCUUGUUGGUGAGGUAAUGGCUCACCAAGGCGUCGACGGGUAGCCGGCCUGAGAGGGUGACCGGCCACACUGGGACUGAGACACGGCCCAGACUCCUACGGGAGGCAGCAGUGGGGAAUAUUGCACAAUGGGCGGAAGCCUGAUGCAGCAACGCCGCGUGAGGGAUGACGGCCUUCGGGUUGUAAACCUCUUUUAGCAGGGAAGAAGCGAGAGUGACGGUACCUGCAGAAAAAGCGCCGGCUAACUACGUGCCAGCAGCCGCGGUAAUACGUAGGGCGCAAGCGUUAUCCGGAAUUAUUGGGCGUAAAGAGCUCGUAGGCGGUUUGUCGCGUCUGCUGUGAAAUCCCGAGGCUCAACCUCGGGCCUGCAGUGGGUACGGGCAGACUAGAGUGCGGUAGGGGAGAUUGGAAUUCCUGGUGUAGCGGUGGAAUGCGCAGAUAUCAGGAGGAACACCGAUGGCGAAGGCAGAUCUCUGGGCCGUAACUGACGCUGAGGAGCGAAAGGGUGGGGAGCAAACAGGCUUAGAUACCCUGGUAGUCCACCCCGUAAACGUUGGGAACUAGUUGUGGGGUCCUUUCCACGGAUUCCGUGACGCAGCUAACGCA